This 253-nucleotide ribosomal RNA is filed under the name uncultured bacterium. Its description in RNAcentral is "partial 16S ribosomal RNA". It matches the Rfam family "Bacterial small subunit ribosomal RNA", at positions 524 to 776 of the family's 1533-position model. The record is from RNAcentral.
UACGGAGGGUGCAAGCGUUAAUCGGAAUUACUGGGCGUAAAGCGCACGUAGGUGGUUUGUUAAGCCAGCUGUGAAAUCCCCGGGCUCAACCUGGGCACUGCAGUUGGAACUGGCAAGCUAGAGUAGGGUAGAGGGGUGUGGAAUUCCAGGUGUAGCGGUGAAAUGCGUAGAUAUCAAGUGGAACACCAGUGGCGAAGGCGAGUCUCUGGACAUUUCCUGACGCUGAGGCACGAAAGCCAGGGGAGCAAACGGG